GUGACACCGGUCCAUGAACAGAAAGUUGUUGAAAGGUUCCAUGAGGUCAGGAGAGGUGAGUGUUCGUCGAUGGUGAAGGAGGAUUUGAGUGAGAGAAGAGCGUGGAGCUCGGUGAUUGGUUUAGCGACGGUGAAGGAAUGAGAAAUGUGGAGGAGAAGGAGGAGGAGGAGGAGAAGAAGAAGCUUCAUUUUUUUUUUGUU
Molecule: long non-coding RNA, 200 nt
Filed under: Arabidopsis thaliana (thale cress)
Lineage: Eukaryota; Viridiplantae; Streptophyta; Magnoliopsida; Brassicales; Brassicaceae
Description: ncRNA (AT3G49668)
Source: RNAcentral